CAGCCGCCACGGUAAUACGUAGGUGGCAAGCGUUGUCCGGAAUUAUUGGGCGUAAAGCGCGCGCAGGCGGAUAGGUCAGUCUGUCUUAAAAGUUCGGGGCUUAACCCCGUGAUGAGAUGGAAACUGCCAAUCUAGAGUAUCGGAGAGGAAGGUGGAAUUCCUAGUGUAGCGGUGAAAUGCGUAGAUAUUAGGAAGAACACCAGUGGCGAAGGCGACUUUCUGGACGAAAACUGACGCUGAGGCGCGAAGGCGUGGGUAGCAAACAGGAUUAGAUACCCGAGUAGUCCCUGUCUCUUAUACA
Molecule: ribosomal RNA, 301 nt
Filed under: uncultured bacterium
Lineage: Bacteria
Description: partial 16S ribosomal RNA
Rfam family: Bacterial small subunit ribosomal RNA
Source: RNAcentral